This 355-nucleotide unclassified non-coding RNA is filed under the name soil metagenome. RNAcentral describes it as "partial contains 5.8S ribosomal RNA, internal transcribed spacer 2, and large subunit ribosomal RNA". The stretch from base 1 to 120 matches the Rfam family "5.8S ribosomal RNA", at positions 35 to 154 of the family's 154-position model. The record is from RNAcentral.
GAUGAAGAACGUAGUGAAAUGCGAUAAGUAAUGUGAAUUGCAGAAUUCAGUGAAUCAUCGAAUCUUUGAACGCACAUUGCGCCCAUUAGUAUUCUAGUGGGCAUGCCUGUUCGAGCGUCAUUAAGUCCACUUAAGCCCUGCUUAGUGUUGGGAGACUGCUCCAGCGGUGCUACCCUGUAGCUACCCUGCAGCUCCUCAAAGACAGCGGCGGAGUUGUGGUAUCCUCUGAGCUUAGUAACUUGUUCUAGCUUUCGAGUACACCACUUCCCCUGCCGUAAAACCCUUAAUUUUUAAUGGUUGACCUAGGAUCAGGUAGGAAUACCCGCUGAACUUAAGCAUAUCAAUAAGCGGAGGA